Molecule: ribosomal RNA, 490 nt
Filed under: Heterophoma verbasci-densiflori
Lineage: Eukaryota; Fungi; Ascomycota; Dothideomycetes; Pleosporales; Didymellaceae
Description: eukaryotic LSU rRNA
Rfam family: 5.8S ribosomal RNA (bases 131-284)
Source: RNAcentral
GGGCUUUGCCUGCCAUCUCUUACCCAUGUCUUUUGAGUACCUUCGUUUCCUCGGCGGGUCCGCCCGCCGGUUGGACAACACUUAAACCCUUUGUAGUUGCAAUCAGCGUCUGAAUAAACUUAAUAGUUACAACUUUCAACAACGGAUCUCUUGGUUCUGGCAUCGAUGAAGAACGCAGCGAAAUGCGAUAAGUAGUGUGAAUUGCAGAAUUCAGUGAAUCAUCGAAUCUUUGAACGCACAUUGCGCCCCUUGGUAUUCCAUGGGGCAUGCCUGUUCGAGCGUCAUUUGUACCUUCAAGCCUUGCUUGGUGUUGGGUGUUUGUCUCGCCUCUGCGCGCAGACUCGCCUCAAAACAAUUGGCAGCCGGCGUAUUGAUUUCGGAGCGCAGUACAUCUCGCGCUUUGCACUCAUAACGACGACGUCCAAAAAGUACAUUUUUACACUCUUGACCUCGGAUCAGGUAGGGAUACCCGCUGAACUUAAGCAUAUCA